RNAcentral lists this ribosomal RNA (472 nucleotides) under Paenibacillus mobilis. RNAcentral describes it as "bacterial SSU rRNA". Lineage: Bacteria; Bacillati; Bacillota; Bacilli; Caryophanales; Paenibacillaceae. The record is from RNAcentral.
GNUCCUACGGGGGUGSCAGCCAGUAGGGAAUCUUCCGCAAUGGGCGAAAGCCUGACGGAGCAAUGCCGCGUGAGUGAUGAAGGUUUUCGGAUCGUAAAGCUCUGUUGCCAGGGAAGAACGCUUGGGAGAGUAACUGCUCUCAAGGUGACGGUACCUGAGAAGAAAGCCCCGGCUAACUACGUGCCAGCAGCCGCGGUAAUACGUAGGGGGCAAGCGUUGUCCGGAAUUAUUGGGCGUAAAGCGCGCGCAGGCGGUCAUUUAAGUCUGGUGUUUAAUCCCGGGGCUCAACCCCGGAUCGCACUGGAAACUGGGUGACUUGAGUGCAGAAGAGGAGAGUGGAAUUCCACGUGUAGCGGUGAAAUGCGUAGAUAUGUGGAGGAACACCAGUGGCGAAGGCGACUCUCUGGGCUGUAACUGACGCUGAGGCGCGAAAGCGUGGGGAGCAAACAGGAUUAGAUACCCCUGGUAGUCA